Molecule: long non-coding RNA, 767 nt
Organism: Ipomoea triloba (trilobed morning glory)
Lineage: Eukaryota; Viridiplantae; Streptophyta; Magnoliopsida; Solanales; Convolvulaceae
Exons: 2
Source: RefSeq, a predicted model, not a curated record
UUAGCGUAAUUGCCAUUUUCUCCAUUGCUGGAGAGGAGAGGGAGGAUGAGAAAAAGGGGUUUUGAAGAUUGAUUUGUUGGUUGGGUUUUUAUCUGGGCGUAUCGCCAUCGGCUUAUCUUCCAGAUGAGACAAAAACACAAACAGUUGGUAGACGAGGAGGACAGCAGAUAGCUAUGCUAGCCAUGGCAGCAGUAGCAGUCAGGGAUUUUGCAGGAACAGCUACAAGCGCAACAGUCAAUGGAAUCAUGGAUGACCUGCAGUGCUCUUCUCGGCAACACUGCUUCAAGUGUAAUAGUAAUACCCCCAUUCUUAGCCGGCAACACUGCAUCGGCAUGGGCGUCGGCCUUCAGUUGAUCUCCCACCUGAAAACACCAAACCGCCAAAACAACAACCACAAUAAGUGUGCCCAACGCCACUCCGCUUUUCGCCAUCUAACUACUAAUAAUGCUAAGUCAGAUCCUUUUUGCUCCAAGCUGGUGUAUAAAAUCUAGCCAUGAGGGAUUCAAAUAUAUAGAGAGAGAUACACGGGGUGAGAGAGUUAGCUAGAUUGCGAUAAAUAUCAUAAUUGAGGGAUACGAUACGAAUUGUUGGCACUUUGUGGGAUUUUCACAUCAGAUGGUGGAAAUUUUAUUAUUAUUUUUUUUGUUUGGACCAAAGAAAAAUGUCAGAAGAAUUUAAUAUGUAAGACAGCAGCAGGCAUCACGAAUAAUUUUCUAAUGAAAGAAUUAAAAUAUGAAGAUAAUGCAGCUACUUGAAUGAGUUAAAAA